GUGUCGGGGGAUCGACCCCCUCGGUGUCGUAGCUAACGCGUUAAGUGUUCCGCCUGGGGAGUACGCACGCAAGUGUGAAACUCAAAGGAAUUGACGGGGGCCCGCACAAGCGGUGGAGUAUGUGGUUUAAUUCGAUGCAACGCGAAGAACCUUACCAGGGUUUGACAUCCUGCGAACCUCUUAGAAAUUUGAGGGUGCCUUCGGGAAUGCAGUGACAGGUGGUGCAUGGCUGUCGUCAGCUCGUGUCGUGAGAUGUUGGGUUAAGUCCCGCAACGAGCGCAACCCACGCUUUUAGUUGCCAGCAUUUAGUUGGGCACUCUAGAAAGACCGCCGGUGAUAAACCGGAGGAAGGUGUGGAUGACGUCAAGUCAUCAUGCCCCUUACACCCUGGGCUACACACGUACUACAAUGCUACGGACAAAGGGCAGCAAACUCGCGAGAGCUAGCAAAUCCCAUAAACCGUAGCUCAGUUCAGAUCGUAGGCUGCAACUCGCCUACGUGAAGUAGGAAUCGCUAGUAAUCGCAGGUCAGCAUACUGCGGUGAAUACGUUCCCGGGCCUUGUACACACCGCCCGUCACACCAUGGAAGUUGGCCAUGCCCGAAGUCGUUACUCCAACCCUUGUGGAGGAGGACGCCGAAGGUGGGGCUAAUGACUGGGGUGAAGUCGUAACAAGGUAGCCGUACCGGAAGGUGCGGCUGGAUCACCUCCUAA
Molecule: ribosomal RNA, 713 nt
Filed under: uncultured Prochlorococcus sp.
Lineage: Bacteria; Bacillati; Cyanobacteriota; Cyanophyceae; Synechococcales; Prochlorococcaceae
Description: bacterial SSU rRNA
Rfam family: Bacterial small subunit ribosomal RNA
Source: RNAcentral